This 844-nucleotide ribosomal RNA is filed under the name Alternaria longipes. Its description in RNAcentral is "partial large subunit ribosomal RNA". It matches the Rfam family "Eukaryotic large subunit ribosomal RNA", at positions 75 to 937 of the family's 3401-position model. The record is from RNAcentral. Lineage: Eukaryota; Fungi; Ascomycota; Dothideomycetes; Pleosporales; Pleosporaceae.
UUGCCCUAGUAACGGCGAGUGAAGCGGCAACAGCUCAAAUUUGAAAUCUGGCUCUUUUAGAGUCCGAGUUGUAAUUUGCAGAGGGCGCUUUGGCUUUGGCAGCGGUCCAAGUUCCUUGGAACAGGACGUCACAGAGGGUGAGAAUCCCGUACGUGGUCGCUGGCUAUUGCCGUGUAAAGCCCCUUCGACGAGUCGAGUUGUUUGGGAAUGCAGCUCUAAAUGGGAGGUACAUUUCUUCUAAAGCUAAAUAUUGGCCAGAGACCGAUAGCGCACAAGUAGAGUGAUCGAAAGAUGAAAAGCACUUUGGAAAGAGAGUCAAACAGCACGUGAAAUUGUUGAAAGGGAAGCGCUUGCAGCCAGACUUGCUUGCAGUUGCUCAUCCGGGUUUUUACCCGGUGCACUCUUCUGUAGGCAGGCCAGCAUCAGUUUGGGCGGUAGGAUAAAGGUCUCUGUCACGUACCUCCUUUCGGGGAGGCCUUAUAGGGGAGACGACAUACUACCAGCCUGGACUGAGGUCCGCGCAUCUGCUAGGAUGCUGGCGUAAUGGCUGUAAGCGGCCCGUCUUGAAACACGGACCAAGGAGUCUAACAUCUAUGCGAGUGUUUGGGUGUCAAGCCCGAGCGCGUAAUGAAAGUGAACGGAGGUGGGAACCCGCAAGGGUGCACCAUCGACCGAUCCUGAUGUCUUCGGAAGGAUUUGAGUAAGAGCAUGGCUGUUGGGACCCGAAAGAUGGUGAACUAUGCUUGAAUAGGGUGAAGCCAGAGGAAACUCUGGUGGAGGCUCGCAGCGGUUCUGACGUGCAAAUCGAUCGUCAAAUUUGGGCAUAGGGGCGAAAGACUAAUCG